UGAACCAUCAGAGAAUCAGUGGCUGCAAAAGACAAGCUGUAGUUCAGAUGAGAUGCUGCACUGUGGAUCUGCCCUGUGGGUAUGCUGGCACUAAGGAAUUCCCUUCCUGGCUCAUGCCACAGAUCAAUUUACCAAGCGAGCUGGAAAGGCACAGGGCCUCAGUUAUGCAUCAACACUGGGACAAAACAGAACAGAAAAAUGUGUGAACAACUAAAAUCUGACGGGCCACCUACCUUCUUGGGAAUGGAAGUCAAGUUUUUUCCUGUUGCCAUGGUCAUGAUGGAGCUGUGAGGAGGCUUGCCCAGGAGCGAGAUACUGGAGAAAGAGCAGAAGGAGAGAUAUUCCUGUGAGCCUCUUCUGAAGAAAGUACAAGCAGCAGUGAUGAGCCUACAGGGAUCAAAGUCAGCCUACGCUGGAAAGUGCAUUCAUUUUUAGGCCAGACACAGAACUGAAGGGCGGUACAAGGCCAAAUAGUUCUCCUGCUUGAAGAGAUCUUUAGCACCCGGUGUGAAACCUGAAACGUGAACACAAGGAGGAGAAAAAUUAAGCUCAAACCAAAGCAAAAGAAA
Manacus vitellinus (golden-collared manakin) is the source of this 569-nucleotide long non-coding RNA. RefSeq lists it as uncharacterized. The record is from RefSeq and is a predicted model, not a curated record. Lineage: Eukaryota; Metazoa; Chordata; Aves; Passeriformes; Pipridae. The transcript is spliced from 3 exons.